UACGUAGGGCGCAAGCGUUGUCCGGAAUUAUUGGGCGUAAAGAGCUCGUAGGCGGCUUGUCACGUCGACUGUGAAAACCCGGGGCUCAACUCCGGGCCUGCAGUCGAUACGGGCUGGCUUGAGUGCGGUAGGGGAGACUGGAAUUCCUGGUGUAGCGGUGAAAUGCGCAGAUAUCAGGAGGAACACCGGUGGCGAAGGCGGCUUCCUGGACCGACACUGACGCUGAGGCGCGAAAGCUAGGGGAGCAAACGGG
This 253-nucleotide ribosomal RNA is filed under the name uncultured bacterium. RNAcentral describes it as "partial 16S ribosomal RNA". It matches the Rfam family "Bacterial small subunit ribosomal RNA", at positions 524 to 776 of the family's 1533-position model. The record is from RNAcentral.